CACCACUGCAAGAGGGGAAGUUGCUACUGUGAUGAAUUCUGCCAUGUGGCACCAGACUGCCACCCAGACCACAGUGUCCUCUGCAACCCUGCUUCUCAGAUGACCAAGAUGGUGCUGCAGAUGGUGCUGAGGAUGGAGAACCCACCAAGCCCCGCUAGGAGCCACCUAGACUGGAUGCAGAGCAUGGCCCAUCAGAAACUCAAAAGAAUGCGACCUUUGUCUCUCACCCACCUGUGACCUGGAAGCUUUCUCCUGGCUGCGAGUUGUCCCACGUUUGCUUGGCGUUGCCCGGCCUUUUCCAGACUGAACCAAUGUUCAUCUUACAUGUGUUGAUUGAUGUCUCAUGUCUCCCUAAAACGUAUGACCACCUUGGCACAUGUCGUCAGGACAUCCUGAGGCUGUGUCACGGGUGUGCAUCUUCAACCUUGGAACAAUAAACUUUCUAAAUUAACUGA
This 455-nucleotide small RNA is filed under the name Homo sapiens (human). RNAcentral's name for it is "MUC20 overlapping transcript (ENSG00000280993.2)". The record is from RNAcentral. Lineage: Eukaryota; Metazoa; Chordata; Mammalia; Primates; Hominidae.